RNAcentral lists this transfer RNA (73 nucleotides) under Apaloderma vittatum (bar-tailed trogon). It matches the Rfam family "tRNA". From Rfam's summary of the family: Transfer RNA (tRNA) molecules are approximately 80 nucleotides in length. Their secondary structure includes four short double-helical elements and three loops (D, anti-codon, and T loops). The record is from Rfam by way of RNAcentral. Lineage: Eukaryota; Metazoa; Chordata; Aves; Trogoniformes; Trogonidae.
GGCUGGUUAGCUCAGUCGGUUGAGCGUGGUGCUGAUAACACCAAGGUCGUGGGUUCGAUCCCUGCUCGACCCC